CCUACGGGUGGCAGCAGUGGGGAAUAUUGGACAAUGGGGGGAACCCUGAUCCAGCGACGCCGCGUGAGUGAAGAAGUAUUUCGGUAUGUAAAGCUCUAUCAGCAGGGAAGAAAGAAAUGACGGUACCUGACUAAGAAGCCCCGGCUAACUACGUGCCAGCAGCCGCGGUAAUACGUAGGGGGCAAGCGUUAUCCGGAUUUACUGGGUGUAAAGGGAGCGUAGACGGCGGUGAAAGUCUGAAGUGAAAGGCGGGGGCCCAACCCCCGGACUGCUUUGGAAACUGUAUGGCUGGAGUGCAGGGGAGGUAAGUGGAAUUCCUAGUGUAGCGGUGAAAUGCGUAGAUAUUAGGAGGAACACCAGUGGCGAAGGCGGCUUACUGGACUGUAACUGACGUUGAGGCUCGAAAGCGUGGGGAGCAAACAGGAUUAGAUACCCCUGUAGUC
This 443-nucleotide ribosomal RNA is filed under the name uncultured bacterium. Its description in RNAcentral is "partial 16S ribosomal RNA". It matches the Rfam family "Bacterial small subunit ribosomal RNA", at positions 338 to 795 of the family's 1533-position model. The record is from RNAcentral.